Molecule: non-coding RNA, 54 nt
Organism: Sarcophilus harrisii (Tasmanian devil)
Lineage: Eukaryota; Metazoa; Chordata; Mammalia; Dasyuromorphia; Dasyuridae
Source: Rfam
GGUCUGUUUGCCUGGGACCUCUCAGCAGCUGGGAGACUAAUCAAACUCCUUUGG